Molecule: small RNA, 645 nt
Filed under: Pongo abelii (Sumatran orangutan)
Lineage: Eukaryota; Metazoa; Chordata; Mammalia; Primates; Hominidae
Description: retained intron
Source: RNAcentral
AGGACCCGGGGCGGGGCCGAGCGCAGCUUCCCCAAAGUGCAGGCGCGGUGAAACCAUCGAGACGGAGGGCCAGAGAGUCACGGCGGAUCUUUGUCUACGAUGUGACGAUCCGUGGAGAAAGUAGCAGAUGGGCAGAUUUUCAGUUGCGGAGAAUGAGGGAGAAAAGAACGGGCAUUCCGAGCCAAGAGCACUGCAUGAGCAAGGAGCUGGGAGGUUGCUUACUUGUUGAACAUAUUUGUUGCAUAUUUGCGUAUUUGCUAAACAGGUAGUGUUAGGAGCUAAUCCAUGAAAGGUAGGCGGGCGCCGUAUUGUAGAGGGCCUUGAGUCCCAGGCUGAGUUUAUACCCAAUUCAGGGGUCUGUUGGGAGCCAGCCAUUGAAGGUGCUGGAGCAGAGAGAGAUAUGGAAUUGGAGCUGAUCCCUAUGAUGAAAUAUCUGGACCCUUGUGUAGCUGUUCCGUGAAGCAGGAGGUGAAGACCUAUUAAAAUGCCAUUUCAAGAACUACGAUUUUAAAGACAGUUUAGGUGGGAGGUAAUAAAGGUCCAAACAAGACAUUAGAUAUUGGGGACAUAAGGGAGAGGAUAUUUGGAGGACAUUACUCAUAACAAGACACAGCGUUACUGACAAGUCAACGGACGCUUCUCCCU